GGGUUGUGGUUGAGUUUGAUACUGGGAAUUAGAUGGAAGAUAUUGACCAUGAGAUGGCUGCAUAGAAGACGGCAAGUUUGGUAAUUGCACUGGAGGUAAAUAAUAACCCUGAGCAGGAGUCACAUUUGGAGGUGGCUGUUGCGGCAUGGGCUGCUGGUGAUGCUCCACAGGUCUGGAGGGAACUGAAGGUUGCGGAGGUAUUUGACUGGGUAAAGCAAGAGCUAGUUGUUGUCCACGGGCGUCUGAUGUAUUGUCGUUCUUCUUAGGUUCAGAAGCAGGUGGAGAUGCUCGUUCCUCUCCCUGCUGGGAAUGGGUUGCCGAAUUGG
This 326-nucleotide long non-coding RNA is filed under the name Daucus carota (carrot). RNAcentral describes it as "long non-coding RNA (DCAR_LNC003214)". Lineage: Eukaryota; Viridiplantae; Streptophyta; Magnoliopsida; Apiales; Apiaceae. The record is from RNAcentral.